GAUGAACGCUGGCGGCGUGCCUAACACAUGCAAGUCGUACGGUAGGGCCCUUUCGGGGGUACACGAGUGGCAGACGGGUGAGUAACACUUACGUAACGUGAACCCAACUUUAGGAUAACGCUAAGAAACUGAAGCUACAGCUAGAUCCGUGCUCUUGCUUCAAGGUGGGGGUUGGAAAGUUACAGCGGUUGUGGGUGUACCUGCGGGAUAUAAGCUUGUUGGUUGAGUAGUGGCCUACCAAGGCGGCGACGGGUAGCCGGCCUGAGUGGGUGACCGGCCACAUUGGGACUGAGAUACGGCCCAGACGCCUACGGGCGGCAGCAGUGGGGAAUAUUGCACAAUGGGCGCAAGCCUGAUGCAGCAACGCCGCGUGCGGGAUGACGGCCUUCGGGUUGUAAACCGCUUUCAGCAGGGACGAAGCUUUUUGUGACGGUACCUGCAGAAGAAGCACCGGCUAACUACGUG
This 465-nucleotide ribosomal RNA is filed under the name uncultured bacterium. RNAcentral describes it as "partial 16S ribosomal RNA". It matches the Rfam family "Bacterial small subunit ribosomal RNA", at positions 28 to 507 of the family's 1533-position model. The record is from RNAcentral.